This 478-nucleotide ribosomal RNA is filed under the name uncultured bacterium. RNAcentral's name for it is "partial 16S ribosomal RNA". It matches the Rfam family "Bacterial small subunit ribosomal RNA", at positions 28 to 523 of the family's 1533-position model. The record is from RNAcentral.
GACGAACGCUGGCGGCGUGCUUAACACAUGCAAGUCGAGCGAUGAAGUUCCUUCGGGAAUGGAUUAGCGGCGGACGGGUGAGUAACACGUGGGUAACCUGCCUCAUAGAGGGGAAUAGCCUUCCGAAAGGAAGAUUAAUACCGCAUAAGAUUGUAGUAUCGCAGGAUACAGCAAUUAAAGGAGUAAUUCGCUAUGAGAUGGACCCGCGUCGCAUUAGGUAGUUGGUGAGGUAACGGCUCACCAAGGCGACGAUGCGUAGCCGACCUGAGAGGGUGAUCGGACACAUUGGGACUGAGACACGGCCCAGACUACUACGGGAUGCAGCAGUGGGGAAUAUUGCAAAAUGGAGGAAACCCUGAUGCAGCAGCGCCGCGUGAGUGAUGACGGUCUGCGGAUUGUAAAACUCUGGGGUCGGGGACGAUAAUGGCGGUACCUGAGGAGGAAGCCACGGCUAACUACGUGCCAGCCGCCGCCGUAA